UACGGAGGGUGCAAGCGUUAAUCGGAAUUACUGGGCGUAAAGGGUGCGUAGGUGGUUCGCUAAGUCCGUUGUGAAAGCCCCCGAGCUCAACUUGGGAAUUGCAGUGGAUACUGGCGAGCUAGAGUGCGGUAGAGGAAGGUGGAAUUCCCGGUGUAGCGGUGAAAUGCGUAGAGAUCGGGAGGAACACCAGUGGCGAAGGCGGGUCUCUGGACAGUUCCUGACGCUGAGGCACGAAAGCGUGGGGGAGCGAUCCGG
Molecule: ribosomal RNA, 255 nt
Filed under: uncultured bacterium
Lineage: Bacteria
Description: partial 16S ribosomal RNA
Rfam family: Bacterial small subunit ribosomal RNA
Source: RNAcentral